This is a non-coding RNA of Perognathus longimembris pacificus (Pacific pocket mouse), 1145 nucleotides long. Lineage: Eukaryota; Metazoa; Chordata; Mammalia; Rodentia; Heteromyidae. The record is from the annotation of a RefSeq genome assembly.
AUGGCUGAAGGGGGCCCUGAGGUGGGGGGUGGCAUCCCUGAAGUGGGUGGGAACAGACCCAGCCUCCAGACUGAGAAAAUUGUCCAAAGAGUGUGCAUUGGAGGAAAGGCCUCCGUGCUGACCUCUUCCUCCAUAUCUCCCACUGUAGCAUGUCCGUGCGAGGUAGGACCAUUUGUCCUCAUCUUCCCUCCAAAACCAAAGGACACGCUCAUGAUCUCCCAAGAACCAAAGGUCACGUGUGUGGUGGGAGACGUGAGCCAGGAUAACCCUGAGGUUGAGGUCACCUGGUUCAUGGACAAUGUGGAGGUACAAGGGGCCCAGACUCAGGCCCCGGAAGAGCAGUACAACAGCACAUUCCGUGUGGUCAGCGUCCUGCCCAUCCUGCACCAGGACUGGCUGUCAGGAAAGGAGUUCAAGUGCAAGGUCAACAACAACGACCUCCCAGCCCCCAUCGAGAAAACCAUCACCAAAGUCAAAGGGCAAGCCCGUGAGCCACAAGUGUACACCUUGCCCCCACCAAGGGAGGAGUUGGCCAAGACAAAGGUCUCUCUGACCUGCCUGGUACAAGGAUUCUACCCUGAGGAUAUCUCUGUGGAAUGGGAGAGGAAUGGGAAGCCAGAGGAGAACUACAAGAACACCCCACCUGUCUUGGACUCGGAUGGGACCUUCUUCCUCUACAGCAAGCUACAAGUAGACAAGAAUGCGUGGCAGCAAGGAGACUCAUUCACCUGCUCGGUGAUGCAUGAGGCUCUGCACAACCACUUCACACAGAAGACCAUCUCCCGGUCUCCCGAUCUGGACCUCGAUGAGACCUGUGCUGAGGCCCAGGACGAGGAGCUGGACGGGCUGUGGACCACCAUCACCAUCUUCAUCACACUCUUCCUGCUCAGCGUGUGCUACAGCGCCACGGUCACACUCUUCAAGGUCAAGUGGAUCUUCUCCUCCGUGGUGGAGCUGAAGCAGACAAUCGCCCCCAACUACAGGAACAUGAUUGGGCCGGGGCCCUAGGACUGCCUGCUACAAGGGCCCACGGCUUUGCAUACCCUGAGGACACAGACCCUGCAGUCAAGGAGCCUGACAGCCAGGUCACACGUGUCCUGGGCCCUCACUGCCCUGUGACCCUGUGGCUCCUGAUCCUAUGCUCU